Lytechinus pictus (painted urchin) is the source of this 4697-nucleotide RNA transcript. It is a transcript of the gene named histone deacetylase complex subunit SAP30L-like, with no coding region annotated. NCBI's taxonomy places the organism in Eukaryota, Metazoa, Echinodermata, Echinoidea, Temnopleuroida, Toxopneustidae. The record is from RefSeq and is a predicted model, not a curated record. The transcript has 5 exons.
AUGAAAGAGAAAAGCAGCCCAUUUAAAUCUAGCUCAAUGAAAUCGAGCAUGAAUCCUUCGACGACAAAAUUGUCGUCUUCAACAUCAUCGCAGCGCAAGAUGAAUGGCUUUAGUACAACAGAGGAUGACAGUCGUGACUCCGGACAUGGUCAGAUAUGUUGUUUGGUGGACGAUGGUCAGCGCUGUUCAAGACCUGCAGGGAAUGCAUGCUAUAGUAAACGUAUUGCUAAGACAGUUCAACAGAGGAAAUUAAAACUGACUAUUGAUCACAGUGUGAGGCAUAUCUAUAUCUGUGACUUUCACAAGUCUAUGAUACAAAGUGUUCGUAGUACCAAGAAGAGGAAGAAAGGAAGUGAUGAAGAUGGUGGAAUAUCUCCAGAUCAUGAUCUUGAUGUACCAGAGGUUGAUUUGUUUCAUUUACAAGUGAAUACUUUAAGAAGAUACAAGAGACAUUAUAAGAUUCAGACCAAACCAGGGCUCAACAAGGCACAACUUGCUGAUAUGGUUGCCAGGCAUUUCAGGACCAUUCCAGUGAGAGAAAAAGAAGCUCUGACUUAUUUUAUCUACAUGGUUAAGAAUAAUAAGAGUCGCUUUGACCAAAAACAUGACCACAGCUAGAAAUCAUAAAACCAAUACGUACGUGUAUAGCCUGUCUAGACCAGUGCACAUAGAGGUGAAUUGUGGAAUGGUCUAAUCCCAAUCUGUCUAUCCUAAUAAUGAUAAAAACAUACCUCUUUUGGUCUCAGUCCACUUGGUCUAAUCCACUUUUUUAACCAGCUUUUCUACUAGAUAUUCAAUUUAAUUGUCAUUUUAAUAGACCAUUAAAUUUUUGCGUAAUUUUUAAUGUGAACAUACCAUUUAACUUACUUGGUUUAUAAUUUAAAUCCACUAGUCUACAUGAUCAGGCAACUGGUUAUGGGCAAAAAGGAUAAGCCCUAGUUGUACAGCCGGGCAAGCUGAGAAUUAGACCAACUGGGAGGUUGACCAACUGGUAAUAGACCAAUGAGGUUUUGCAGGAAGCUUACAUUCAUUUGCAAAUGAAGCAUAAGACCCAAAAUCAAGCAUAAUUUUGAGUUGCAAUGGAAUGCAAAUCAACUAUGAAUUUUCUAUUGAACAAAGGAUUUAUGUUUGAUUUUGGGACUUACGCCUGAAUGGGAACUGAACACAGACCUUCUGCAAUGCCCCCCCCCUACGCGAAUAUCAACAUCAUCUAGAUAUAGAUCCAUCAUGAUUAUAUGACAGCUGUAAAGCGAAAUCAUCCAUGUGAGAAUCUCAAUUUUCACUGCUUGAUAUUUCAAAGUCCUGCCAAAAGCAUAACUUGGGGAAUGUUUCACAAAGAUUUAAGUGUGAUUUAGAAUCGCACUGAAUUCGUUUUUUGCACGCAGUAUGAAAGGAAUCAUUGCACUGGUCAAAUCAUGCUAUAAUGAUGUGAGCUUUUGUGUUAAGUUUGCUCUAUUUAUAUCAUGUCCAUGUCGGCAUUUAUGCACGACUCUUAAGUCAUACUUACCAUGUAAAGAUAAUUUCAAUCUAUUCUUUGUUUAUUGUAAAUACUGUUUUUCAAAUUGUAAAGUAAUUGCUUCUAUUUAUGUAGCUGUUUGUAAAUAGCUUCUCAUUGUGUAUUUGCAAUAAUUUUUGUUCCUCAAUAUUGAUUGUUUUCUGGAGUGUCAAGCGCCCUCUAAGAUCAGGGGGUGUAUUCUGAAAAUUGUCUUAAGAGAAAUAAUCUUGUAUCUUUAGAGUUACAAUAAAAUCCGUAUUCUGAAAACUCUUGUAUCUUUUCUUGUAACUUUCACUAAGCGCUUAUGACGUCAGAGUUACAAUGAUGCGUAAAGUUAAGAACGGCGCAUAGAUCUCUGUGCGCAAGAUAACAUAUCGAGAUAAAAGGUAUUCUGAAAAUUCUUUGCGUUCUGUUAACUUCCUUGCAAAAUACAAGAAAAUUUACAAGAGGUAGGGGGCUAUUGUAACUUAAUGUUGAAUGCGAUAUUUCUCGGUCAGCAAUAACAAUUUCUUCCUGCAUCCCGCAAGAACAUCAUGUUUUAUAAAAGGAGACAUUACAAAGACGUUAUAACAACGGAUUGGUAGACUUCAGCAAUUGAAAAUUGGCAUUCGAGAUGAUGAAUCUUUUCAGAGAAAAUAUGACUCUGAGAAAAGCCACGUGUAUUUUAGCCGAUUUUAGCAUAGUAGUGUACAGGCAUAAGCGUCGGUGGCGCAAAGGAAAUUACGCCGCAUGUCAACAAUGCGCUUAAUUAUUUUUUUAGAAGGGAUGCUUCUAUUGGUUGACCGAAGCAUAUAAAAAGUUUGAUUGGUUGAUGACAAAAUAUUAGGCAUGUCGGAGAUAAAAUAGGGGAAGUCCUUACAGAGAUGAGACAAUUUUCAGAAUACUGAUUUAAGAUAAUUUUAGCGAGCUGUUAUCUUGCUGACUUACAAGAAAAGUUACAAGAAAAGUUAGGACAAUUUUCAGAAUACCACCCCAGGUUUUUUUCAUAUAUUAAAAAAAAAAAUCAAUAUUGACAUGCAGCUUUUGAAGAUUCCCAUAACCAUUCUUUACAAUAGAAUGAUAAAUUUCACAGAGACAUGAAGAACUUUUCACAAAUUUUGGCAUGCAAUAUAUAUUCAUGUAGUAGCAAGUUGUGUAAUCAUAGGCAUUAAGUUCAAAUUGUUUAGUUAAAAAUCUAUUCUGAGACACAUUAUUAUUAUUGUUGCCCCAGCCUUGUCUGGGUACCCAUUCACUUCAGUCUGGAAGUUGAGAUGAAUCUCUUGCUGAAAGAAAUUAUUUCCAUUUGAACCCAUGAGCCUCUGAAUAAAAACAACAAAAAUAAAUGUCAUGAAAAGUUUUUUUUAUGCAUUUACUAAUCUGAGAUCAAAUGAUGAGAGAAAAUAAUGAAUGGAUAGGCCUAAUGCAUUCUACCUGAAAUUGAUGUUGCAACACAAAAUUAAGUUAGUCUCUUUUGAAUGCAUGCUGAUGAUGAGUGUAUUCCUUUACAACAUUUCCACAUCAACUUCAUAGUUAAUAUUGAACAAGCUGUCUUCACUUGGUAUGGACAAUAGUUUUCAUGAUCUUCAAAACAUCAGACCAGAGAGUUGUUGCAUUAGACUAACUUCACUUGGAAAUUUGCUCAAUGUCCUUUGAAAAUAAGGAGAAGUAUACUGAAUUUUCAAGAAAACAGUGAAUGUAUGAAUAUACAUCAUUUCUAGAAAAUAUUUUGAACAAACAUUUAUUUUAGAUGUUGAUGUUUCCAUAGUUUCGAUUGAUCGGAUGAAUCGCAAUUCUUUGUUAGACGGGCCCCUGGUGUGUUACAAAUGUCCAUGUUAUUAUUAUUACCCAUUAUGCAGAGUUAGGUAUAUAGAUAGUAUGUCAUUGUCAGUGAUUUUCAGUGAUUAUGGAGAAUUUUUAAUAUUUAGAUAUUACUCUCAUUUUGCUCAAAUUGUGAUUCCAUGUUCAUUCAUUUGGGCUUUUUUGUUUGUUUUAAAAGUCAUUUAGUCAUUUGAUACUUACAAACUUUUCUCAUAUGCAACAUUUCUGGAGGUUUUUGUGAUCCCCAUUUUUUAACAUGACAAUUUGAAUGUGCCAUUUUUCGAUAUGUGUUCUAGGUUAAUCUAUUACAUUUAUAUAUUUUAUUUUAACUGAUUUUGUAGUUAUUUAGAAACCUUGAAGGGAAUUGAUUAUUAGCAUGAACAGUGAAAACAGUAUAUAAAGACCACAUAUACUUUGAGAGAGAAUAGAAUCUUGCCUUUCAGGUUUUUGGUCUUCAUUGACAUGCUUCCUUUGGUAUCCAAUGAAAAAAAAAGGAAGAAUACAUACUUUGUAGAGAAUUGCUAGUGACUACAAUAGGCAAGUGGUUAACAAUGUAUGUGGUCAUGUGCUCUUAGAAAUACAUAAUGGAAUUUAUUGUCUAGAUCUUUGGUUAUUUAAUAUUUUUAUUUAUUGUGAAAAAUCUUUGAAUGAAAUUAUUACAUAGAUGAACAUGUACAAUUUGUUUUCAUAGUUGUGUAUUUCAGUUUUCAAUAUCUUUUGAAAUUUAAUUGUUGAUUUUUUUUUUACUUGCUUUCAUAUUCAAUAUUUCAAAUCAGAAUUUAUUUUCAAUAUUGGUAUUUUCCUUUUCCCCCAAGAGGCCUGUUUUUUCUUUAUUUCUUGUAUUGUGAAAUUUUUGAGAACGUUUUUGUUCUGUACAGCUAUUUAUCAAUUUGUACAAUAUAAAUGUAGCAUUUGAUAAUUAUAAUUUGCAUUUGUGUCAGUGAAGAAAAUAAUGUGUUGGACCUUUUUAUUCCUAUGUGAUUGUGGUUGGUUAGGUAGAUAGUAGGUAGCUGGGGUGAAAUGCUUCAUGUUCUAUUUACACUUUGUCCUCAUCCCACAUGGUCUAAUCCUAGUUUAUCUACAACCAGUUCAUCUACUAACUAAUUAAUCUAAUUGCCACUUAUCCCCAUACCAUUUGGUCCUGCACCACUGUGUAUAUGACUACUGAACUGUUUAUAAACCUAAUAUUCACUUGCCAAAUUAUGAAAAGGUAUAGCGAUGGAGUUGAAAUUAGACCAUCUGGGUAUGAGAGCAAAUGUUAAACCAAAUGAUAAUUAUACCUUAUUAAUAGUAGACAAAGUGGGUUUAGCCAUGACCAUGCUAUAUGAACUGAAAAUUAGACUUGCUAGUAGACCAUAUUAUAGGUGUAGCUAUGAUGGUGUUAGUUUAUCUGAGUAUAACACCA